UAGGGAAUAUUGCAAAAUGGGCGAAAGCCCGAUGCAGCAACGCCGCGUGGGCGAUGAAGGCCUUCGGGUCGUAAAGCCCUUUUUGAGGGGAUGAGGAAGGACAGUACCCUCAGAAUAAGCCUCGGCUAACUACGUGCCAGCAGCCGCGGUAAAACGUAGGAGGCGAGCGUUAUCCGGAUUUACUGGGCGUAAAGCGCGUGCAGGCGGAUUGGAGAGUUGGAUGUGAAAGCUCCCGGCUUAACUGGGAGAGGUCGUUCAAUACGUCCAGUCUUGAGUGCAGUAGAGGGAAGUGGAAUUCCGGGUGUAGUGGUGAAAUGCGUAGAUAUCCGGAGGAACACCAGUGGCGAAAGCGGCUUCCUGGACUGUAACUGACGCUCAGACGCGAAAGCUAGGGUAGCAAACG
Molecule: ribosomal RNA, 403 nt
Filed under: uncultured bacterium
Lineage: Bacteria
Description: bacterial SSU rRNA
Rfam family: Bacterial small subunit ribosomal RNA
Source: RNAcentral